UACGGAGGGUGCAAGCGUUAAUCGGAAUUACUGGGCGUAAAGGGUUCGUAGGUGGUUGUAUAAGUUAUCUGUAAAAGCCCUGGGCUCAACCUGGGAAGGCCAGAUAAAACUGUAUGACUCGAGUAUAGGAGAGGGUAGUGGAAUUUCCGGUGUAGCGGUGAAAUGCGUAGAGAUCGGAAGGAACACCAGUGGCGAAGGCGGCUACCUGGCCAGAUACUGACACUGAGGAACGAAAGCGUGGGGAGCAAACAGG
This 253-nucleotide ribosomal RNA is filed under the name uncultured bacterium. RNAcentral's name for it is "partial 16S ribosomal RNA". It matches the Rfam family "Bacterial small subunit ribosomal RNA", at positions 524 to 776 of the family's 1533-position model. The record is from RNAcentral.